GAUGAUCGCUAGCGAUAGGCUUAACACAUGCAAGUCGAGGGGCAGCACAAGGUAGCUUGCUAUCUGGGUGGCGACCGGCGCACGGGUGCGUAACGCGUAUGCAACUUGCCCUAUACAGGAGGAUAACCCGUCGAAAGACGGACUAAUACUGCGUAUGCUCACAACUUGGCAUCAAGUGGUGAGGAAAGAAAUUCGGUAUAGGAUAGGCAUGCGUCCCAUUAGCUUGUUGGUGAGGUAACGGCUCACCAAGGCAACGAUGGGUAGGGGAACUGAGAGGUUUAUCCCCCACACUGGUACUGAGACACGGACCAGACUCCUACGGGAGGCAGCAGUGAGGAAUAUUGGUCAAUGGGCGCGAGCCUGAACCAGCCAAGUCGCGUGAAGGAUGACUGUCUUAUGGAUUGUAAACUUCUUUUAUACGGGAAUAACAAGAGUCACGUGUGACUCCCUGCAUGUACCGUAUGAAUAAGCAGCGGCUAACUCCGUG
RNAcentral lists this ribosomal RNA (487 nucleotides) under uncultured bacterium. Its description in RNAcentral is "partial 16S ribosomal RNA". It matches the Rfam family "Bacterial small subunit ribosomal RNA", at positions 28 to 507 of the family's 1533-position model. The record is from RNAcentral.